UGAGGAAUAUUGGUCAAUGGACGAGAGUCUGAACCAGCCAAGUAGCGUGAAGGAUGAAGGUUCUAUGGAUUGUAAACUUCUUUUAUACGGGAAUAAACGGAUCCACGUGUGGAUUUUUGCAUGUACCGUAUGAAUAAGGAUCGGCUAACUCCGUGCCAGUAGCCGCGGUAAUACGGAGGAUCCGAGCGUUAUCCGGAUUUAUUGGGUUUAAAGGGAGCGUAGAUGGGUUGUUAAGUCAGUUGUGAAAGUUUGCGGCUCAACCGUAAAAUUGCAAUUGAUACUGGCAGUCUUGAGUGCAGUUGAGGCAGGCGGAAUUCGUGGUGUAGCGGUGAAAUGCAUAGAUAUCACGAAGAACCCCGAUUGCGAAGGCAGCCUGCUAAGCUGUAACUGACGUUGAGGCUCGAAAGUGUGGGUAUCAAACAGGAUUAGAUACCCUGGUAGUCCACACGGUAAACGAUGGAUACUCGCUGUUGGCGAUAUACUGUCAGCGGCCAAGCGAAAGCAUUAAGUAUCCCACCUGGGGAGUACGCCGGCAACGGUGAAACUCAAAGGAAUUGACGGGGGCCCGCACAAGCGGAGGAACAUGUGGUUUAAUUCGAUGAUACGCGAGGAACCUUACCCGGGCUUAAAUUGCAGACGAAUUACUUGGAAACAGGUAAGCCGCAAGGCGUCUGUGAAGGUGCUGCAUGGUUGUCGUCAGCUCGUGCCGUGAGGUGUCGGCUUAAGUGCCAUAACGAGCGCAACCCUCGUGGCCAGUUACUAGCAGGUAACGCUGAGGACUCUGGCCAGACUGCCAUCGUAAGAUGCGAGGAAGGUGGGGAUGACGUCAAAUCAGCACGGCCCUUACGUCCGGGGCUACACACGUGUUACAAUGGGAGGUACAGAAGGCAGCUACCCGGCGACGGGAUGCCAAUCUCCAAAGCCUCUCUCAGUUCGGACUGGAGUCUGCAACCCGACUCCACGAAGCUGGAUUCGCUAGUAAUCGCGCAUCAGCCACGGCGCGGUGAAUACGUUCCC
This 1017-nucleotide ribosomal RNA is filed under the name uncultured bacterium. RNAcentral's name for it is "bacterial SSU rRNA". It matches the Rfam family "Bacterial small subunit ribosomal RNA", at positions 355 to 1375 of the family's 1533-position model. The record is from RNAcentral.